This 442-nucleotide ribosomal RNA is filed under the name uncultured bacterium. Its description in RNAcentral is "partial 16S ribosomal RNA". It matches the Rfam family "Bacterial small subunit ribosomal RNA", at positions 339 to 795 of the family's 1533-position model. The record is from RNAcentral.
CUACGGGUGGCUCCAGUGAGGAAUCUUCCGCAAUGGGCGAAAGCCUGACGGAGCGACACCGCGUGGUGGAUGAAACCCUUUUCGGGCGUAAACACCUGUUCUGAGGGACGAAAUUUUUGACGGUACCUCAGGAGAAAGCACCGGCUAAUUCCGUGCCAGCAGCCGCGGUAAGACGGAAGGUGCAAGCGUUACUCGGAAUUACUGGCGUAAAGCGUCCGCAGGCUUCCCCAUAAGUCUGGUGUAAAAGCACGGAGCUCAACUCCGUGUAUGUGCCGGAAACUGUAGGGAUUGAGUCACUCAGAGGCACCUGGAAUGCCAUGUGUAGGGGUAAUAUCCGUUGAUCCAUGGUAGAACGCCAAAAGCGAAAGCAGGGUGCUGGGGGUGUACUGACGCUCAGGGACGAAAGCGUGGGGAGCGAACGGGAUUAGAUACCCUGGUAGUC